AAUUAUUGAGUGCUACAUAAAACUAACAGUUAAGUAUGGGAUAUGCAAUAUUUGUUUUCUUUCAUCUUGACUUACAUGAGUUUGAAUGAAGAGAAACAAAAGGUUCGUCUGUGCAUGUAUUUGGAUGUUAAUUCCUGUGUAGUUUAAUGUUUUAUAAAAAUUUGGCAGUUGCCUCCCUUUGAUUGCUUGAAUGAUCUUAAUGUUAUAAUUUUAAACUUACAAAACUUGAUUUGUUACCUUUGUAUAUAUAACUGGUAUUUAUUGCA
This 266-nucleotide long non-coding RNA is filed under the name Mytilus galloprovincialis (Mediterranean mussel). The record is from RNAcentral. Lineage: Eukaryota; Metazoa; Mollusca; Bivalvia; Mytilida; Mytilidae.